UAACACGUGGGUAACCUGCCUGUAAGACUGGGAUAACUCCGGGAAACCGGGGCUAAUACCGGAUGCUUGUUUGAACCGCAUGGUUCAAACAUAAAAGGUGGCUUCGGCUACCACUUACAGAUGGACCCGCGGCGCAUUAGCUAGUUGGUGAGGUAACGGCUCACCAAGGCAACGAUGCGUAGCCGACCUGAGAGGGUGAUCGGCCACACUGGGACUGAGACACGGCCCAGACUCCUACGGGAGGCAGCAGUAGGGAAUCUUCCGCAAUGGACGAAAGUCUGACGGAGCAACGCCGCGUGAGUGAUGAAGGUUUUCGGAUCGUAAAGCUCUGUUGUUAGGGAAGAACAAGUACCGUUCGAAUAGGGCGGUACCUUGACGG
RNAcentral lists this ribosomal RNA (379 nucleotides) under Bacillus subtilis. RNAcentral's name for it is "bacterial SSU rRNA". It matches the Rfam family "Bacterial small subunit ribosomal RNA", at positions 111 to 475 of the family's 1533-position model. The record is from RNAcentral. Lineage: Bacteria; Bacillati; Bacillota; Bacilli; Caryophanales; Bacillaceae.